This 505-nucleotide ribosomal RNA is filed under the name uncultured bacterium. RNAcentral's name for it is "partial 16S ribosomal RNA". It matches the Rfam family "Bacterial small subunit ribosomal RNA", at positions 28 to 507 of the family's 1533-position model. The record is from RNAcentral.
GACGAACGCUGGCGGCGUGCCUAAUACAUGCAAGUAGAACGCACAGUUUAUACCUUAGCUUGCUACACCAUAGACUGUGAGUUGCGAACGGGUGAGUAACGCGUAGGGAACCUGCCUGGUAGCGGGGGAUAACUAUUGGAAACGAUAGCUAAUACCGCAUAAUAUUAAUUAUUUCAUGAUAAUUAAUUGAAAGGUGCAAUUGCACCACUACCAGAUGGACCUGCGUUGUAUUAGCUAGUAGGUGAGGUAACGGCUCACCUAGGCGACGAUACAUAGCCGACCUGAGAGGGUGAUCGGCCACACUGGGACUGAGACACGGCCCAGACUCCUACGGGAGGCAGCAGUAGGGAAUCUUCGGCAAUGGACGAAAGUCUGACCGAGCAACGCCGCGUGAGUGAAGAAGGUUUUCGGAUCGUAAAGCUCUGUUGUAAGAGAAGAACGGGUGUGAGAGUGGAAAGUUCACACUGUGACGGUAUCUUACCAGAAAGGGACGGCUAACUACGUG